This is a long non-coding RNA of Physella acuta, 221 nucleotides long. RefSeq lists it as uncharacterized. Lineage: Eukaryota; Metazoa; Mollusca; Gastropoda; Physidae. The record is from RefSeq and is a predicted model, not a curated record.
GCUACAGGUGACGCAACAAAAAUAUCACAAUGAAUCGAGUGAUGCUGAUGGUAACCAUAUUUCUUGUCAUCAAUGCUGUGUGCUUGGAGAGUGUCACUGGAAAGGGAAGUUCUCACUCAGGUGGCCGCCAUCAUGGUCGUUCAGCCGAAGAGUCUUUACCAGUUCGAGCUUCCGUCGAAGAAAUUGAAAGAACCAAGCAGUCUACUCGCUCAAACUUUAAC